Long non-coding RNA from Carcharodon carcharias (great white shark), 2562 nucleotides. RefSeq lists it as uncharacterized. Lineage: Eukaryota; Metazoa; Chordata; Chondrichthyes; Lamniformes; Lamnidae. The transcript is spliced from 2 exons. The record is from RefSeq and is a predicted model, not a curated record.
ACGGCCACAAGCUGACGUGGCUGUGUUUAACUCCAGGUUAGCUACCACGACAGGAAUCAUAAUUUAAGCGCCUAGGGCUGGAAUUAAGAAAAACAGCCUUUCUGGUCCCCUUUCAAUCGAUCUUUUCGAUUUCCUUUUUUAAAUUAAUCGGUGACUGCCGGGUUCUUUCAAUAAAUCAGAAACGUCGAGUUGGGUUGCCUAUCUCGCCCCACAGCAGAUGAUACAGAAAUUAACUGUGUGGUUGAUCGUGAAGAAGAAACCUGUAAAUUGCAGGAACAUCAACGUCCUGUGAUGGAAGCAAUGUUAUCAAGUGGUUCUUACUCAACAAUAACCUGCUUACCAAAGCUAAGUUUGAGUUCUGCCAGGGCCACUUGGCUCCAGAUCUCAUUACAGCCUUGAUCGAAACAUGGAUCAAACAUCAGAACCCGAGCUGAGAUUGACUGCCCUUGACAUCAGAUCAGUGUUUGACCGUGACAUCAAGGAGCCUUAACAAAAUUGAAGUCAGUGGGAAUCGGGGGCAAACUCUGCAGUGUUUUGAGUCAUAGCUAGCAGAAAGGAAGAUGGUUGUGGUUGUUGGAAGCCAAUCAUCUGAGCCCCAGGACAAUGCUGCAGGAAUUAAUAUCUUAGACCCAACUAUUUUUAGCUGCUUCAUCAUAGGGUCAGAAGUGGAAAUAUUCACAGAUGAUUGGUACUGAACACUGUGCACUCUCAACUCCUCAAAUACCGUUAUGCCUCAGUCUGUGCCCAUGUGCAGCAAAUUGCCAUCACCAACAAGAGAGUAUUUAAUCAUCUCUCCAUGAUAUUCCUUUGCUGAAUCCUCCAUGAUCAACAUCCUGGGGGGUUAACAUUGACCAGGAACUUAACUGAACCAGCCAUAUGAAUAAUGUAGUUAAAAGAGCAGGCCAGAGGCUAGGAAUUCUGCAGCAACUAACUCAUCUACUGACUCCCCAAAGCCUGUCCACCAUCUACAAGGCAUAAGUCAGGAGUGUGAUGGAAUACUCUCCAAUUGCCUGGAUGAUUGCAGUUCCAACACUCAAACUCAACAUCAUUCAGGACAAAGCAGCCACCUUAAACAAUCACUCCCUCACCACUACCAGUCACAGUGGCAGCAGUGUACUAUCUACAAGAUGCACUCUAGUAACUCGCCAAGCCUUCGACAGCACCUUUCAAACCUCUGACCUCUACCUUCUAGAAGAAUAAUGGCAGCAGACGUGUGGGAACACCAUCAUCUCCAAGUUCCCUCUAAGCCAUACAAAUUAUGACUUGGAACUAUAUUGCUGUUCCUUCACUGUCACUGAGUCAAAAAUCUGGAAUUCCCUUCCUAACAGCACUGUAGGUGUACCAGCACCACAUGGACUCUAGCAGUUCAGGAAGUGGGUCGUCACCAUUUCAACAGCAAUUAGGGAUGGACGACAAAAGCUGGUCUUGGCAGCAACACUUACAUCCCGUUAAUGAAUAAAAGAAAAAUCAAUGGAUUGGUCAGGUGUGCAAUAAUAGUGGCAAAUGGAAUUCAAUCUGGAGAAAUGUGUGUUCAAGCAUUUGGGAAGGACAAACAAGGCAAUGGAAUACACUAAUGGAUAGGUUACAGAGAAGUGCAGAGGAGCAGUGGAACCUUGGAGUGCAUGUUCCCAGAUCUCUGUAGAUGGGAGUUAAGAAAGUAGUUAAGAAAGUAUACAGAAUUCUUCCUUUUAUUAGCUAAGGCAUAGAAUAUAUGCACUGCUGGAUUAUACUGUAAAUGUAUAAAACAUGAGUGAGGCCACAACUAGAGUACUAUGUACAGUUCUAGUCACCACCUUACAAGAAGGAUGUAGUUACUCUAGAGAGGGUAGAGAAGUUUUUUUGAGAAUGUUGUUAGGACUAGAACAUUUUUGCUAUAUGGAAAGAUGGGAUAGGUUGGGUUGUUUUCUUUGGAAUAUGGAGGCAGAGGGGAAAGUUAAUUGAGGUGUAUAAAAUUAUGAACAGCCUAGAUAGAGUGAAUAGGAAAGAACUAAUUCCCUUGGAGAGAGGUGAAUAGCCAAGGGACAUAGAUUUAAAGUUACUGAAAGAAGAAUUACAGGGGAGUUGAGAAUUUCUUUCACCAGAAGGUGGUGAAAUCGCUGCCUGAAAGGGCAUAGUGGCAGAAACCCUCAUCGUGUUUAAAAAAUACUUGGAUAUCACCUGAAGUGCCAUAACCAAUGGACCAGGUACUGGAAAGUGGGAUUAGGCUGAAUAGCUAUUUUCUGACCGGCACAGACACAAUGGGCGGAAUGGCCUCCUUCCCUGCUGCCAAUUUCUAUGAAAAUCACAGUCUGAUCUAUUGAAAAUACCUGCCCAACUCAAUGAUUUCAACAUUCCACACCAGUAAACGCUCUCCAAAAAUUAUGGAAUUGAAUAAGUGCCAGCUAAUUUUAAAAGCCAGUAAUGCAUAAAACGUGUAAAUUUGUUUUUGUUUGCAUGUGGCUUCGCUACCACUUCCAACAUCAGAGACAGCUGAUCAAAUUUUCACAUUACAUUUGAUUUUAAAUGCAGCUAAGUUUUAAACUCGUUUCUUGUCAGUGAAUUAAAGGAACUGUUACCAAUUAA